This 579-nucleotide ribosomal RNA is filed under the name Neofusicoccum parvum. Its description in RNAcentral is "eukaryotic LSU rRNA". The stretch from base 209 to 362 matches the Rfam family "5.8S ribosomal RNA". The record is from RNAcentral. Lineage: Eukaryota; Fungi; Ascomycota; Dothideomycetes; Botryosphaeriales; Botryosphaeriaceae.
UCCGUAGGUGAACCUGCGGAAGGAUCUUUACCGAGUUGAUUCCAGCUCCGGCUCGACUCUCCCACCCUAUGUGUACCUACCUCUGUUGCUUUGGAGGGCCGCGGUCCUCCGCACCGGCGCCCUUCGGGGGGCUGGCCAGCGCCCGCCAGAGGACCAUAAAACUCCAGUCAGUGAACUUCGAAGUCUGAAAAACAAGUUAAUAAACUAAAACUUUCAACGACGGAUCUCUUGGUUCUGGCAUCGAUGAAGAACGCAGCGAAAUGCGAUAAGUAAUGUGAAUUGCAGAAUUCAGUGAAUCAUCGAAUCUUUGAACGCACAUUGCGCCCCUUGGUAUUCCGAGGGGCAUGCCUGUUCUAGCGUCAUUUCAACCCUCAAGCUCUGCUUGGUAUUGGGCCCCGUCCUCCACGGACGCGCCUUAAAGACCUCGGCGGUGGCGUCUUGCCUCAAGCGUAGUAAAAAACACCUCGCUUUGGAGCGCACGGCGUCGCCCGCCGGACGAACCUUUGAAUUAUUUCUCAAGGAUGACCUCGGAUCAGGUAGGGAUACCCGCUGAACUUAAGCAUAUCAAUAAGCGGAGGA